GCAAGUCGAGCGGGAAUGUUGGUGCUUGCACUGACAGGACAGCGGCGCACGGGUGAGUAACGCGUACGCAAUCUACCUUUCACAGAGGGAUAGCCCCGGGAAACUGGGAUUAAUACCUCAUGGUCCGUAAUACCGGCAUCGGUAUAACGGUAAAGUUCCGACGGUGAAAGAUGAGCGUGCGUACGAUUAGGUAGUUGGUGAGGUAACGGCUCACCAAGCCGAUGAUAGUUAGCUGGCGUGAGAGCGUGAUC
RNAcentral lists this ribosomal RNA (251 nucleotides) under uncultured bacterium. Its description in RNAcentral is "partial 16S ribosomal RNA". It matches the Rfam family "Bacterial small subunit ribosomal RNA", at positions 57 to 305 of the family's 1533-position model. The record is from RNAcentral.